Molecule: non-coding RNA, 1882 nt
Organism: Prunus mume (Japanese apricot)
Lineage: Eukaryota; Viridiplantae; Streptophyta; Magnoliopsida; Rosales; Rosaceae
Source: RefSeq, a predicted model, not a curated record
AGUUCUUCGGUUGCUUAACGUGGAUGGCUGAAAGUUUAUGAGCAUGUAAGUUGCAAAGUUGAUGAACUUGUGUGCACUGGAGCUUCUGUAGGCUUUCCCCACAAAAAGAUAGUUUGGUUUGAACGGGGUUCCAUCAAUUGGUAUCAGAGCCAGGUUUCACUUCGCAAUCCAAUUCCACGAAGGGGCGACUAUAUACUUGUUAUUGACCGUGCAAAAGUAUCUUAGACUGUGCAAGGAUAUCUUGAGGGGAAUGCUCUGCUUUGUCUCUCACAUGUGACCUUGUUUUCCUUACAAGUCUAAUACACUUAUUUUACGUUUGGGCUUUGAGUCCCUAGAGUUGGUGGAUUUGAGAGGCCACAAAAGGGUUCCAAAAGUAUUAUAAUUGAAAGCUGUAUUGCUUUAUGUGUCUAUACCAUUGGAUGCUGCUGCUGAUAUACCUUGAAGUUUUCAUGCGCAGGAUGAGAUUAUUGAAGUUGCAUGAGUACUCUGCUAUCCUAGCCUGGUCAUGACGUUUCACUACUAGUGGUAGCUCUAUAGGAAAUCCAGGCCCAGUCAGAGCAGAGUGCCUGGUUUGCAUGCUCAAAGAGAUAGGGCUGGAGAACAAGGCAGGGGUUUGGCGUAAGCACAUAGACAAGGUAUGGCUCCAUUGGAUUGGUUCUGCAACAGUGAAACUACCCUUGUUGCGGCACUUUGCAGAUUGCUGAGCUCUGCUGUAUCCAUGCUUUGGAUGAAGGCAACAAUUGAUCCUGUGGUUUGGCUAAUCUUCGUCCUGACGCACUGGCAUGUAGACGGGUGUUGCAUAGUUUUGGUGCAUCAAUAAAUGUGCAGUCACAUUCUUUCUAGUGGAUUUGCAAGGUUUAACUGACCUAAAUCUUCAUCAUGAACCGGAAAGCUAUCUCAAAUCAGCGUAGACAAUGCGAGGAUCCUUGUAAUUCUUUAAUUAAGUCGUCGCCAUAAUGACUUGGUCAUUGUAAGGAGUGCAGCUAUGCUGAAACACGUCCCUUUCCGAAAGUUUAAAGCUUCACCGACAUUUUGGAGUCUUUUACUAGUCCCAAUCUCAAUCACUGGGUCCGUAUGGAUAAAAAGGGUUUCCUAUCUGGUGGUAGAAUCCGACAGUGUAGACCCUAAUCCGAACACCUUUGAAUGUGCAGUCUAUUAAGUUUUAUGGCCAGAGCAAUAAUGUAUAUGGAGGUUGUGUCAUGUAAGGGUGCGUGGAGGAUUUCGUUUUUCGAAGAUGAGAUUCUGUUUUCCGGAGGAUUUUGCAAUCCGAACACCUUUGAAUAUGCAGCCUAUGCCAAAUCAUGUAAAUUUUUCUAAAGCUGCAAGUGUUAGGGCCAGAGCAAUAAUGUAAAAUGGAGGCUGUGUUUAUGUACGGGUGUAUGUGAGGAUUUCUUUGUUUGAAAGAUGAGGAUUUUGUUUUCCGGAAGAUAUAAAUAUAUCAAGAACAAACAUGCAGGACCUAGCAUUCUACAGAGGACUAAAUGCAGAUACAAGAGAGCCUACAGCCAAAGCUGUGACCAUCCCCGGGAUCAUAAGUCGGAGAGAUUAGUUGUAGACGUAAAGGCUUCAAAGAUCAUAGUCUGCUGCUCAUCCCUUGUUUCAUCCCUAUAUCGUCUCUCUCGACUCCCGAGGCUGUUACAUAUAAAUCAUCUUGAAAAGUUAACUACAUGUGUCAUUUAUGCAAUCAAGUAAAUAGUUUUAUGAACGAAUGGAUCGGAUCGAAUUGAAAAAUGGAAAUAUUUAUACAAGUUAUACACCUAUGUUCACCAAUUUUAGUAAAAUAGUUAGGUAUGAGUAAUGUUAGGGUCACAUUUAUUUCUAGAGCAACACAGCUGACAUCAUCAGCUCUCUUUUGUUGGACUGCAUCCAAACCAAAAGCAAG